ACUGGUCUCACAGCCAGCUGCACAUAGAGACCAGUGUUGUUAGUCCAGGUCAGAAGAUGACUUGUUGGAAUGAAAAUGAGCUUGUAGUUUGUCUGCUUUAAUAAUGUGACUGGAAAAAGGUGUUGGACUUCAAAUAUGUCCAUUUCUGUCACACUUCACCUUUAAAAGUGAAGCCAUGUGGUUCCUGGAAGGAAAAACACGACUUUUUCAAGUCUUUGUCCUGUUUUUAUGAGAAAUGUACGACUUUAAUGUGAAACAUUCAGAGUUUUUUCUCUUGUUGUGUUUGUUUGAAGCUGCUUCCUGUUGGCUUCAGCUGUUUGGAGUUUCCAUUUUCUAAACUUCUACAUUCUGAACCUUCUUCAGCUCUGAACAGAUGAUGAAACACUGAAUGAUUUCAAGCACUUUGUCUAAUAAACUUACAUCUUUCAUUCUUUAUACAGAUUGAGGGACUGUGGUUUGUCAGAGAUCAGCUGUGAUUAUCUGGCAGCAGCACUGAAGUCCAACCCCUCCCAUCUGAGAGAGCUGGACCUGAGCUACAACAACAACCUGCAGGAUCCAGGAGUGAAGCAUCUGUGUGGUUUCCUGGAGAGUCCAGGAUGUAAACUUGAAACUCUGAGAUUGUGGAGCUGUGGUUUGUCAGAGAUCAGCUGUGAUUAUCUGGCAGCAGCACUGAAGUCCAACCCCUCCCAUCUGAGAGAGCUGGACCUGAGAAACAAGCUGCAGGAUCCAGGAGUGAAGCAUCUGUGUGGUUUCCUGGAGAGUCCAGGAUGUGGACUUGAAACUCUGAGGUCAGUCAGCAUGUUUUAGUUGUGCUGAGAUGAAUAUGAUGUGAAAGUUGUGCUGACACUAAACUGCAGACAUCAGGCUGAUAUUAUACUGAUCCACACUGAGGAUCUUCAUGGUAAAGUCUGUUUUCUUCUUCUCUGGUUUAGUCCAUUGACUGCAGCAGAACAAUGUUCACAUUUCAAACCUUCAAAGAAGAA
Long non-coding RNA from Haplochromis burtoni (Burton's mouthbrooder), 983 nucleotides. RefSeq lists it as uncharacterized. The record is from RefSeq and is a predicted model, not a curated record. The transcript has 2 exons. NCBI's taxonomy places the organism in Eukaryota, Metazoa, Chordata, Actinopteri, Cichliformes, Cichlidae.